RNAcentral lists this long non-coding RNA (395 nucleotides) under Bos indicus x Bos taurus (hybrid cattle). RNAcentral describes it as "lncRNA (ENSBIXG00005018242.1)". Lineage: Eukaryota; Metazoa; Chordata; Mammalia; Artiodactyla; Bovidae. The record is from RNAcentral.
CAAACAAAUUGCAUGGACUGAUAUUCCUUGGUCAUUGUCUGCAGGUACCAUAGGAUCACAGUGAUGCUCAGGGACUGUUCCUAUGCCCAUGCCUUUUGGGAGGAAAACAUCCAUGCUGAAGUUCUCAGGUGUCUUGGCAAAAACUAUGCAAGGAAAAUGGUUCAGAGGGUUUUGGACAGAAUGCUGACAGGAUAUCAUGUCUGUCUGAGUCUACAUAUGGGAGGAUGUAGCUUCUCUGCCUGGCCUGCAACUGCAGCAUGCUCUGGAGAGGAAGGAUGCUCAGUCCAGGGGAGCAGGAGAAGAGGAUGGUGAGAAGCUGCAGAGGCCAGUGAGUACCGCUGGGCAAGGGUAAAUUUGCUGGGGUGUCACACUGGGAUAAAAGAGGACCUGGGAAG